This 253-nucleotide ribosomal RNA is filed under the name uncultured bacterium. RNAcentral's name for it is "partial 16S ribosomal RNA". It matches the Rfam family "Bacterial small subunit ribosomal RNA", at positions 524 to 776 of the family's 1533-position model. The record is from RNAcentral.
UACGAAGGGGGCUAGCGUUGUUCGGAUUUACUGGGCGUAAAGGGCGCGUAGGCGGAUAUUAAAGUUAGGCGUGAAAACCCUGGGCUCAACCUGGGACGUGCGUUUAAUACUGAGUAUCUAGAGUGUGUGAGAGGAUGGCGGAAUUACCAGUGUAGAGGUGAAAUUCGUAGAUAUUGGUAAGAACACCGGUGGCGAAGGCGGCCAUCUGGCGCACAACUGACGCUGAGGCGCGAAAGUGUGGGGAUCAAACAGG